This 253-nucleotide ribosomal RNA is filed under the name uncultured bacterium. RNAcentral describes it as "partial 16S ribosomal RNA". It matches the Rfam family "Bacterial small subunit ribosomal RNA", at positions 524 to 776 of the family's 1533-position model. The record is from RNAcentral.
UACGAGGGGGGCAAGUGUUGUUCGGAAUUACUGGGCGUAAAGGGCUCGUAGGCGGCCAACUAAGUCAGACGUGAAAUCCCUCGGCUUAACCGGGGAACUGCCUCUGAUACUGGAUGGCUUGAGAUUGGGAGAGGGAUGCGGAAUUCCAGGUGUAGCGGUGAAAUGCGUAGAUAUCUGGAGGAACACCGGUGGCGAAGGCGGCAUCCUGGACCAACACUGACGCUGAGGAGCGAAAGCCAGGGGAGCAAACGGG